CCAGACGGCCGGAUGGCCGCUCCCGGUCCUCGAUGGACCGGGGGAGGAAAGUCCGGGCUCCACGGAAGCACGGUGCCGGGUAACGCCCGGCGGGGGCGACCCCAGGGAAAGUGCCACAGAAAGCAAACCGCCCGGCCGCGCCCAAGCGUUCUCGCCUGGGCGGCUCGCGGCCAGGGUAAGGGUGAAAGGGUGCGGUAAGAGCGCACCGCGGCCCCGGCGACGGGGACGGCACGGUAAACCCCACCGGGAGCAAGACCAUGUAGGGGCGGCACGCCGGCGGUUACGCCGGCAAGCGGGCUUCCGCGCCGCCGCCCGGGUCGGUCGCGCGAGGCGUCCGGUAACGGACGUCCCAGAGGAAUGGCCAUCGCCCGCCCGCAAAGGCGGGUACAGAACCCGGCUUACAGGCCGUCUGGCUCU
RNAcentral lists this RNase P RNA (417 nucleotides) under Rhodospirillaceae bacterium. Its description in RNAcentral is "RNase P RNA component class A". It matches the Rfam family "Bacterial RNase P class A". From Rfam's summary of the family: Ribonuclease P (RNase P) is a ubiquitous endoribonuclease, found in archaea, bacteria and eukarya as well as chloroplasts and mitochondria. The record is from RNAcentral. RNAcentral also lists the same sequence under 1 other name. Lineage: Bacteria; Pseudomonadati; Pseudomonadota; Alphaproteobacteria; Rhodospirillales; Rhodospirillaceae.